CAAUUUGAUUUACAAAUGGUCAGGGAUGGAGAAUCCACCAUGAACCUUGUGCUCCAUCUGGAAGGACAGAGUGCUAUGAUGUCUGUCAAGGCAAGCUGGGAGAUCACUCCAAGAAGAUAAACAAAUUACUGUUUUGACUGAUCACAGUAUCCUGGCAUCACAGUCAAUGUCAGCCUAAUACCUGUCCUUCAAACAGAGUUUUCCAUUAUGGAUACUUUCCGGAUGCUCAGCAACCACUUUGACCAUGCUGAACGGGAUGAGAGGGCAAAAUUUCCAGAAGCAAGUUCUGCAGAAAGCAUCCAGAGAGCAACUAACGUGCACAAAACACAUUCUCAGAAAGCAGCCAC
Mauremys mutica (yellowpond turtle) is the source of this 347-nucleotide long non-coding RNA. RefSeq lists it as uncharacterized. The record is from RefSeq and is a predicted model, not a curated record. Lineage: Eukaryota; Metazoa; Chordata; Testudines; Geoemydidae. The transcript is spliced from 4 exons.